UAAAAACCCCGACUUCGGAAGGGGUGUAUUUAUUAGAUACAAAACCAAUGCCCUUCGGGGCUCUUUGGUGAUUCAUGAUAACUAUACGAAUCGCACGGCCUUGCGCCGGCGAUGGUUCAUUCAAAUUUCUUCCCUAUCAGCUUUCGAUGUUUGGGUAUUGGCCAAACAUGGUUGCAACGGGUAACGGAGGGUUAGGGCUCGACCCCGGAGAAGGAGCCUGAGAAACGGCUACUACAUCCAAGGAAGGCAGCAGGCGCGCAAAUUACCCAAUCCCGACUCGGGGAGGUAGUGACAAUAAAUACUGAUACAGGGCCCUUUCGGGCCUUGUAAUUGGAAUGAGUACAAUUUAAAUCCCUUAACGAGGAACAAUUGGAGGGCAAGUCUGGUGCCAGCAGCCGCGGUAAUUCCAGCUCCAAUAGCGUAUAUUAAAGUUGUUGUGGUUAAAAAGCUCGUAGUCGAACCUUGGGCCUGGCUGGCCGGUCCGCCUCACCGCGUGCACUGGUCCGGCCGGGCCUUUCCCUCUGUGGAACCCCAUACCCUUCACUGGGCGUGGCGGGGAAACAGGACAUUUACUUU
This 576-nucleotide ribosomal RNA is filed under the name uncultured eukaryote. Its description in RNAcentral is "SSU rRNA". It matches the Rfam family "Eukaryotic small subunit ribosomal RNA", at positions 174 to 758 of the family's 1831-position model. The record is from RNAcentral.